RNAcentral lists this ribosomal RNA (442 nucleotides) under uncultured bacterium. RNAcentral describes it as "partial 16S ribosomal RNA". It matches the Rfam family "Bacterial small subunit ribosomal RNA", at positions 338 to 795 of the family's 1533-position model. The record is from RNAcentral.
CCUACGGGAGGCUGCAGUGGGGAAUAUUGGGCAAUGGGCGCAAGCCUGACCCAGCAACGCCGCGUGACGGAAGAAGGCUUUCGGGGUGUAAACUUCUUUUGACAGGGAAGAGUAGAAGACGGUACCUGUCGAAUAAGCCUAGGCUAACUACGUGCCAGCAGCCGCCGACAUACGUAGGUGGCACGCGUUGUCCGGAUUUACUGGGUGGAACGGGCGUGUAGCCGGGUUGACAAGUCAGAUGUGAAAUCCUGCGGCUUAACCGCAGAACUGCAUUUGAAACUGUUGAUCUUGAGUACUGGAGAGGCAGACGGAAUGCGUGGUGUAGCGGUGAAAUGCGUAGAUAUUAGGAGGAACACCAGUGGCGAAGGCGGUCUGCUGGACAGCAACUGACGGUGAGGCGCGAAAGCGUGGGGAGCAAACAGGAUUAGAUACCCCUGUAGUC